This 72-nucleotide transfer RNA is filed under the name Bos taurus (domestic cattle). It matches the Rfam family "tRNA". Rfam says of the family: Transfer RNA (tRNA) molecules are approximately 80 nucleotides in length. Their secondary structure includes four short double-helical elements and three loops (D, anti-codon, and T loops). Lineage: Eukaryota; Metazoa; Chordata; Mammalia; Artiodactyla; Bovidae. The record is from Rfam by way of RNAcentral. RNAcentral also lists the same sequence under 4 other names.
UCCCUGGUGGCUCAGACAGUAAAGAAUCUGCUUGGAAUGCAGUAGAUCCAGGUUCAAUCCCUGGAUGGAGAA